GGAGGCGUGCGUGAGCGGCUCAAACGAACGGUUUGCUAAACCGUGGAGGUCUAAAAAACCUCACGCAGGUUCGAAUCCUGCCGCCUCCG
Molecule: transfer RNA, 89 nt
Filed under: Patescibacteria group bacterium
Lineage: Bacteria
Also listed under: 1 other name
Description: tRNA-Ser
Rfam family: tRNA
About the family: Transfer RNA (tRNA) molecules are approximately 80 nucleotides in length. Their secondary structure includes four short double-helical elements and three loops (D, anti-codon, and T loops). Further hydrogen bonds mediate the characteristic L-shaped molecular structure. tRNAs have two regions of fundamental functional importance: the anti-codon, which is responsible for specific mRNA codon recognition, and the 3' end, to which the tRNAs corresponding amino acid is attached (by aminoacyl-tRNA synthetases). tRNAs cope with the degeneracy of the genetic code in two manners: having more than one tRNA (with a specific anti-codon) for a particular amino acid; and 'wobble' base-pairing, i.e. permitting non-standard base-pairing at the 3rd anti-codon position.
Source: RNAcentral